Molecule: unclassified non-coding RNA, 125 nt
Filed under: uncultured Archaeorhizomyces
Lineage: Eukaryota; Fungi; Ascomycota; Archaeorhizomycetes; Archaeorhizomycetales; Archaeorhizomycetaceae
Description: sequence contains ITS1
Source: RNAcentral
UUGAAUGGUCUUUGACCUUCUACCCUUAAAACAUGUGGAAGCCAAUAUCGUGCUUCGGCCUCCCUUUGGGGUGGCCGCUUUUAUGCAGAAACUCAUAUGUCGUCUGAAUGAAAACAUUACAAUCA